GCCUGGCUGGCUCAGUGGGAAGAGCUUGGGACUCUUGAUCUCAGGAUUGUGAGUUCUAGUCCCACAUUGGGUG
Non-coding RNA from Ailuropoda melanoleuca (giant panda), 73 nucleotides. The record is from Rfam. NCBI's taxonomy places the organism in Eukaryota, Metazoa, Chordata, Mammalia, Carnivora, Ursidae.